UUUUUUUUUUGGUGGUUUUGUUGUUGGUUCGUAGGUUCUGUAUGGAGUGAUUUCAAUCGCUAAUAUGGCCAAGAAAAACCCACCGCUUUGAUCUAGUUUCAAUGUAGUGGUAGUUCACACAGAGUCUCCCCAUCUCCUUCCCAACGACCCCUCUAAAGUCCAUGCUUCUAUUCUGAGCUUCAGCUGUUCCCAGCUUCGGAAUGCAACGGCCGGUUUUUAUUUAAUUCUUUGAUAUGAGGAACUAACAAGCCAAUUAUUUAUGUACUCCUCAACACAUCUGGAUUGAAAUUAUUACUUUGUAUUUGAUUAUUUGUGAUUCGAAAAAUGUGAAAAAAUUGUAAUUGAAUACACGUGGGAUCAUUCAAGUCUUUCUACAACUUAUAUGAGGUGAUAUCAUACGGAAUUUGUAUUGAAAUCAGUUAAAUAUGAAAUCGGAUAAAACUGAUUGAAUCGUUUAAAAACACAGUCGGUCGAAGUGCAUAAAAUUGAUCGGUGGUUAGGUUAUUUUUUAGUAAAUAUCGCAAUGGUAAAUUUAAUAUGAAAUAUUCCUAGUGGAUGCGCAUGCGGUAAUUCCUAUAUAUAUCCUAAAUUUUCUUGCUGAGAUUACUUAAUACAAUUUGUACUGCCUUUUCCUACAACAGCCACAUAGACAUAGUAGCUUAUAAAUAAACCGUAAUAAGGGCUUCAAAACUAGCUAAUAAGAUGAUUGAUUACAUGUCCAUAACCAAGGAUUUCAACUACAAGACACGUAAAACUUUCACAUGUACAGCUCGCUCUAUAUCAACUCUGUCAAUCUAGCACGUGCUACAACUACUGGGAUAACUGUACGUACUAAAGAGGGGCCGUUGUACAUCCCUUACCUUAACUAAAUUCUCAGCAACCCCAUUCUUCGUAGACCUUUCCCCUAUCAUCGCUCUUCUUUGGUAACUGUUGAACUGUUCCUUACGUUGUUGGGAAAUCUGGCCAACUCCCCAGGAUGGUCCAACGUAAACUGGCUAGGUGAUAUCCACCUUUGUUUGGCAAACGAACAGCUAAGCCGUCCUUGUGUGUACAGAGACUCUGCUGCUGCCUCUGCUGCACGUUGCUUUGUGGCAUCGUCAACAUAUAGAAGGUCCUCGAUUCUCGCCAUCACGUUGAAAGCUAAGCUUUCCAUUACCCUUGAGUAGCUCUCGAUGAUAGCACGCCCUACGUCCUGCAACAAAGGGAGUAAUUAAAUACACAAUAUUACUACAAGGACAUGAGUUUCUUAUAUGAGAGAGUUGGUCUGUCUAGGUACCCUGUUGUGUUGAAUCUUGGUGGUAUCUAAGGAGGUCUGAGGAAGGUCAGGAAACCGGAGUCUUAAGCUGCGUAAUAGAUUAUCUGCCCGUGCUGCCAGCAUUUUACAUUUCGGAGUAUUGUGUUUGGAUUUACCAGUCCAUGUUGAUCUCGCUCCACCACCACCACCCAUAUACUUCCUAAUAUACUUCUGGUUCCAUGUAUGUGCAGCAGCUUCGAUCCGGUUUGCUACCUCAAGAGUGGUGAACUCUGGUGAUAAGUUCAAGUAAUCAAGGAUGAUAUCGGGAGAGAAAUUGUCCGCUGUUAAGUAGCCGUGUAUCGUCUCCCCUAAACAAGCUUGCGGAUUCUGAAAUUUUCACACAAACUAUUUAAACAAAAUGUGGAUUCAAGGAAUCAUAUCAAGGCACUCAGAGAGCUUGCAUUGCAUAUACCUUUGGCAGGCUAUCCAAGUAAGAAGCAGGUAUUUGCAUCUCAGCUAAGACAUGGUUAUUGAUAGCCAUGGCAGCCUUAAGGAUCUGACUGGUGCAUUCCCUACACUGCUGCAAUCUCUUCCUCGUAUCCUCGCACAGCCCGUUUUCAGGAACUUUAGGAAACGGCAGCCACCAUUUCUCCUCCAGUCUUACUGAGGAUGGUUCAGUCCCAGAAGUCAAGGAAGACAUGAAUUUUUUGGUCUCACCAUCUCCACUAGAAACUGCUAUUCCGCGCUCAACAUAACAAAACUCCGAAUCAGAAAACCCGUCAAGAACGUUGAGAAGCAUGGCAUCGAGCUUCUUCAGAGCUGGCACGUUUACAAAUAGAUCCAACCGCGGUUGUGGCACCAUAACUUCGAAAGUGCCACCUCCAGGAACAGCUUGAACCGAUGGAACAAGCUCUACAAUGGAAUCACUUACACAUAAGAACCAUUCCAUCUCACGCCGCCACAUUGCCUUCUUCUGUUCUGGUAACGGUUCCAGCUUCCACAGCUGUCCAAAUACAGAAGCUGCACACCACAAACACACACGCAAAUACCAAUUACACCAACCACGUCAUCAUCAAAUUCCACCUAACCUUUAGUUACAUUUUGAAGAUAACUUACCAGAAAGGUUAGUGAUGGCAUUGGAGAUUGCCAGAGCUGUGCAAACCCCAUUCCCUCCACCUGACAUGUCCUCUCCUAACAGAAGCUUGGCAAAUCGUUCCUUCAUCAAUUCAGUUUCUACAAAAGAAAAUUUUACACGUCGGUUGGACUAUGCCAUGUAGACUAAAAAUGCUUAAUUGUGCGUCGAGUUGCUACAAGUGGUUAUUUCUGCUCCGAAUCUGAUUUCCUCGCUCGUAAAAUCUUAAAAUCACUGUCGAUAACCGAUCGCUUGAAUUACUGAGAGACUCAACAACCAAAAACAGGAGGGCAAACCAGUCCAAAAUGACAAAUCAUAAUUUUCUGAACAGAAAUCAAACGCAAGCAAAGCCGUCAAGAUGUCCCUCAGACUUCAACAGAAAAAUCGGGUGAAAAACAGAGCUCGAUGAACUAACCAGAAAGUUCAGACGCGGCCUUCUUCGGUUGAAAGACAACGUGUCUGCCGCCGACAACGGGCGGCAUGAGAGUGAUCGGCGGGUAACGGUCAUCGAAUUCCAGCGCUUCAGCGAGUUGAGCAGACGAAGAAGACGUGAGGGAAGUGGAACCUCCUCUGCUUCGGUCGCAAUUGCGGCAGGACGAGGACAGGCAGCUGGAACCGCUCUCUGACUCGCUGAUAUCGGCACUGAUGCUGUAGCUGUCGAGCACAAACCGGUCACCGACGUCGUCAUCAGACGAAAUACUCCCCAUUCCCUUUUGCUUUUGAUUUGUCCCGUUGGCUAGAGAUACUGCCUUUCGCGAUGAUCUUCAAUUUAGUUUGAGGGUAAAAGUAUAGUCUGAGGGGACAAAUAAUAAAGAAAGGGAAAGCAGAAUGAGAAAAGAGAAAAAUGAGGAAAAGAUAAAUAAAUGGGAACAAGGAGAGGAAACCGGUUCUCUAAUUUCCAAAGGGGUGAUAUUAUCGUAUUUAUUUCAUUUCCGUUCAUAUUUUAAUAUAAAUAAAUAUAUUGCUAUAAGACGUCCGGUCUUUUACUAUGUAACGCUCUAACAUUUGAAUUUGGUACAUGAAAUGACGUGAAUGUCCCUGCAAUCAAAAUUCAUUGUUAGACGUCACCGUCACUGCCGCCGCUGAGGUACGAAAUUUUAAAAAAUGUGAGUCGCCGUUGAAUUUGGAGAUAGGAUUUAGUGAUUAGGGGUUUAGACAUGGUCCUUGUAUGCAUUCAUGAAGAAACUGAUUAACAUAAUCACAUAUGGUGCUACCUUUCAUGUAAUGAAGACAAUGCCUCCUUUUAUGUAACGUGAGAAGGUUGUCACACUACAUAUACGGAGUAACUAUACUCAAAGACAAUGCCUCUUUUUAUGCAAAUGAUACAUAAUUACUAUGUAUUAUAUAUUCAUCUACUUAACUAUAAUCAUGACUAAUUAUUAAUUUCCAAAAAGUAUUUAACUAAUUACAAAAUUUUACUACUUUCACUACUUAAUUACCACAUUAAAAUAAUAUACUAAUUACAAUUUGAUAAUUGGUUAAGUAAUUGAAUAGUAUACUUAUUAUAAUUUAAUAAUUAGUAUUAGAGUAUUAGAACAGUUAAUUAAAUAUUAUAAUAUAAUUAANNNNNNNNNNNNNNNNNNNNNNNNNNNNNNNNNNNNNNNNNNNNNNNNNNNNNNNNNNNNNNNNNNNNNNNNNNNNNNNNNNNNNNNNNNNNNNNNNNNNNNNNNGAUUCCACAUUUAUUGUUUUAAUUUCGUAUUUCAUCGACGACGAUAACGGUGUUUAACAGUGAAUUUUGAUUUUAAAGGCAUUCGCAUCAUUUAAAAUAUUAAGUUUAAAAUUCUAGAGCGUUUAUAAAUAAACAUUAGACGUCAUAUAACAAUUUAGUUUCCAAAUGAGUUAGUUGGAUGGAUAUUUUUAUGUGACGUGGAAACUUAUAAUUCCUUACACUUUUUUAUUCAUACUUCGAACUAAUGGUAGAUUACUAAUAUCGGAAAUUUAUUAUUAUAUUGGGUAGAAUCGUUGCUUUAUUAUUUAAUUUACGAAAUAAGAAGCUAACAGUGAAGGGAAAGUCUUGAUAAUUUGCACGUGAGACGGAACUGAGAAAUCUCAAUAGAAUUAAUUUCAAAAAUAAAAAAAAUACGCCCAAUUAUUAAUAAUUUUGGCGGAGGAUUGGAGAUUUGGCGAAAUCGUGGAGUGGGCAGGGCAAUGGGAAUGCUCAAUGUUGGCGGUGAGUGGAGUAAAGCAUACACCAACCAUUAACAACGUUGCGGGUACAGUGCCUUAUUUCAAUCGGGCCCACGAGUUGUUUAGUGGGUCAGGCCUGGGCUCGCAACAGAGCAGUAUAACUAUAUAUGGAAAAUAGGCGGGUAAUGCUCAUAAUUGAUGGAUAAAUAAGAAGCCCAAUUUUGAACGGGCCCCUACAUGGACCAGUUUGCUGGUUGGUGGAUUCAUCAAAGUGGGUGGUUUAUAGUUUAAUACAUGCAUGGAAUGGAAGGAUGUAUUAUUGGUUUUCACAUACUCACAACCGCUUUUGUUUAAUUUCCGAUUUUAGUCCUCAAAUUUUACUAUUUUACGACCCGAUUUCACUAUAAAAUCGCUAGACUUUUCACCUGAUCAAAAUCCUUAAAAUUGGGAAAAACCAUUUUUAACUCAAUCAACCUUGGUCUGGCUUGGCAAUUGGCUCAUUGGUUUAUUUUUUCAUGAUGCCCAGAUAAUUUGAAGUUUAACAACAACUUUGAGAUUGUUCUCAUGUUUGUGAAUUGAGUUUAAUUGGUUGUUAUGUUUGGUUACUCAUAAUUGAUAAAAAAAAUUCAAAUUGAAUACGACGUUAAUUAUAUUGAUUGCUGAUGGUUUAUAACUUAACAUUAAAUUACAUAUUUUGAAAUGAAAAAUUAGACAAAUAUUUUCGAUUAUUAUUAUACAAAUCAACAUAAAGUAUUGUAUCAUACUCAAUCUCCCGCUGACUCGGUUUAUAACUUAACAUUAAAUUACAUAUUUUGAAAUGAAAAAUUAGACAAAUAUUUUCGAUUAUUAUUAUACAAUUCAACAUAAUGUAUUGAAUCAUCCUAAAUCUACCGUUGACUUUUUAUAUAUUAGUAAAGCAUUUUUAAAAACACGAAAAUAUUUUUUAAAAAAUUCAAUGAAUCGAUGAAACCAAAAUAUCCACGUAGGAAAUACCACAUCUAGACGGCAAGAUAUCCAAGGAGUAGAAGACAAAAGACAACCUCCCACAAUCUUGUAGUUUAAUCCAAUUCAAGAGAUGAAACCAAAUGACGACACUACUUUGACGGAACACUUCGGGCGGGCAAUCCAGGGUGAAAUAGUUCCAUUGGUGCAAACCUAGACCAUAUAUGUAUCGACACCAUGUUCUCAUCCUUAUUCCAUCGCUACUAUUCUCACCUUCUCAUUCUUAAUCUCAAUCCCCGCUUUUCUCGACGUCUUCUCUGCCCCCAAGUCUCCUUUUAUUCAAACUCUCCUUCCCUCUCCAUUUCCAAUCCUUGCUCAGUUCUUCGAUUCCCACCUACCAACCAACCACCAACUCCUUCUUCUCGAUCCUUUUCUUCCCUAUCCUUCUCCUCCGCAAUGGGCUCCCUCUCCGCUCUCGACGGUGGAGCCUGCUUGACCUACCCUAAAACCCGCAGGGAUGACUCCGUUGUUGAUGACUUCCAUGGCGUCAAGGUUUCCGAUCCUUAUCGAUGGUAAAAAUCAAUAACCGGAGGAGCUGUUUUUUUUUUCUUUUCCUUUUUAAGUUUUCGAUUGCAUUCUCAUUAUUUGGUGGUUGCUAGGCUGGAGGAUCCUGAUUCGGAGGAAACCAAAGCUUUCGUGGAAGAGCAGGUUCAGCUCACAGAUUCCGUGCUGAAGACGUGUGAGGCGAGGGAGAAGCUUAAGGAGAAGAUUACCAAGCUCUUCGACCAUCCCCGUUAUGAUGCUCCCUUCAAGCGGGGCGACAAGUAUUUCUACUUCCAUAACACCGGCCUUCAGGCCCAGAGCGUCCUCUACGUUCAGGUAAAAACAACAGUAUAUGGAUAGGGGAGAUGUAGGAAUCUUACAGAUGUUUAAUUAAAUCAAGCUUCUGGGGGGAUGUUUGCUCUAUGACAUAUUUUGACAUGGAUUGGAACAGGAUGGUUUGGACGGAGAGGCAGAGGUUUUGCUCGACCCCAAUGCAUUGAGCGAGGAUGGUACUGUGGCCCUCGCCAAACUUACAGUUAGUGAGGAUGGCAAGUACAUGGCCUACGGGCUUAGCUCCAGCGGGAGUGAUUGGGUAACCAUCAAACUCAUGCAUAUUGAGGACAAGCGAGUUGAGGCUGACACAAUAUCUUGGGUGAGCAGAAGCCAAAGUUCCUGUCUUUCUAUUUAAUCUGUAGAUAUAUUGGUGUCAGAGAGUUUGAAGUUCUGAGCUUUUGUUUUUGGUUCGCAGGCAAAGUUUACGAGUAUCAGUUGGACACAUGAUAGUAAAGGAUUCUUCUAUUGCCGUUAUGCUGCUCCCAAGUACGUUUGUUGUUUUCCUUGCACUUGUAAAAAUGUUUGCACUUUCUGUUUGGUACAUUGAAUAUUUUAACUGAUUAAGGUUGGCUUUGUAAUAAUGGGUUUCAACGAUCCUAGGUUCAUAUCCUGGCAUCAAUACAUAUAAAUUGGUUUGGUUGUGUUAGUUUUCACUAUUUAGACGGAUGAAUUGGGGAAAGAAAGGAUUUUGAAUCUAUUAUAAGGAAAAGGUUGAUGGAUGGAUGGAUGUUUGUUAUCAUUCAUUAAAUAGGGUUAGUUAUUAACUGGUUUUCUGGGAUUGUUAUACAGAGAUGGAGAAAAGUUAGAUGCUGGGACAGAGACCAAUAUUAAUCUGCAUCAGGAAGUGUAUUAUCAUUUCUUGGGUACAGAUCAAUCCGAGGACAUUUUGUGUUGGAAUGAUCAAGAAAACCCCAAAUAUCAAUUCGGAACAGAGGUGGCUAAGGAUGGCAAGGUAUAGUUUCAGCUGAAUGCUCUUUAAACGUUUUGGUUUUUGGUAUACUUGCUUAUUUCGGUUGGUUUUUUGUUGUCAGAAAAUAAAGCCAACUUUUUUUAGUUGGAUUCUUGUUACUGAUAUGAUUGGAUCUUUAUAUUUGUUAGAAUAUGUUUUCCCUGCAAACAAAGUACAGUAUUCAGAUUUCUCAUGGUUCUUCAAAUCUGCUUUAUGUUUAUAACUUAAUUGAAUCGACAAGUCAAUUGUAAUUAGGUUUCCCAUAUCACCUAUUAGCCUACCGGUGUGAUUCAACUAAUCGAAACCAAACAGAUUCCUAGCCUCGUUGAAUUUACAAACUGCUUAUGCACUGGUGUUAUUUUCUGCAGCAUCUUUUCCUGUAUACCUACGAUGGGUGUGAACCGGUCAACAAAGUGUACUACUGCGAUAUGUCUACACUUCCAGGAGGCCUAGCCGGUUUCAAGGGAGGAAACAGUCUUCUCCCUUUGACUAAGCUUGUUGACAACUUAGAUGCACAGUAUGAUGCCAUUGCGAACGACGGCACCUCAUUUACAUUCAUGACCAACAAAGAUGCACCUAGAUAUAAACUAGUGAGGGUGGAUUUGAAGGACCCAAAUUCGUGGACUGAUGUUGUCCCCGAAUCUGACAAGGAUGUAUUGGAAGCAGCAUACGCUGUUAAUGGAGAUCAAUUGAUAUUGAGUUACCUGAGUGAUGUUAAGCAUGUGUUGCAGAUAAGAGACUUGAAGACAGGAUCAUUUCUGCAUCAGCUGCCAAUUGGCAUCGGCUCUGUUACUCGAGUGUCUGCAAGAAGACAAGACAGCAUAGCAUUUAUUGGCUUUACUAACUUUCUUUCCCCUGGCAUCAUCUACCAAUGCGAUUUUGGAUCUGGGAAUCCGGAAAUGAAGAUAUUUCGGGAGAUCAGUGUACCUGGAUUUGAUCGCUCAGAAUUCGAAGUGAAUCAGGUGACUUUCUCCUUUUCUUUGAGUGUGGAUUGUAACUCGUUUUUGAACUCCAACCUGUUGCUUAAAUUAGAAACCGAGGCAUAUGGUGUUCCUUACCUACUGGCUACUUGUGCUCGUUUGGUUUCAGGUUUUUGUGACUGGUAAAGACGGCACUAAGUUCCCAAUGUUCAUCGGUUCCAAGAAGGAUAUAAAACUGGAUGGAUCGCACCCAUGCUUGUUGUACGGAUAUGGUGGAUUCAAUAUCAGCAUCACUCCAUCUUUCAGUGUGACUCGGAUAACACUGGCAAAGCAUUUAGGUGUGGUGUUCUGCAUUGCUAACAUUCGCGGUGGUGGAGAGUACGGUGAAGAAUGGCACAAAGCAGGUUCGCUUGGCAAGAAACAGAACGUCUUUGAUGACUUCAUCUCUGCUGGCGAAUACCUCGUAUCAGCAGGAUAUACCCAGCCCAAUAAGCUCUGCAUUGAAGGCGGAAGCAACGGUGGUCUCCUUGUUGGGGCAUGCAUAAAUCAGGUACGCAUUUAGCUUAUAUCUUCCAGAAACCAUUUUUACUGCCGAACUAAUAACCACUAUUCUUGUCAGUAUGAUUCUGAUGGAAAGUUUAAACUAUUUACGUUGUUGUAACAGCGGCCUGACCUUUUCGGGUGUGCUCUGGCUCACGUUGGAGUGAUGGACAUGCUGCGAUUUCACAAGUUUACGAUAGGUAACAGAGAAAGCUCAAAUUCAGUUUCACUUCCACCGUCUUAUGUACGCUUCGCAUCAUUUCUCUCAACUGAUGAUAUCCUUCUUCUACAGGUCAUGCUUGGACAACCGAUUAUGGAUGUGCAGACAAGGAGGAAGAGUUCGAUUGGCUGAUCAAGUAAGAGAAGAUUCUGAAACGGAAACAAAAAAAAAACCCUGAUCUUCGUACAUAAUGAUUACUUAUAUCCGCAAACUGGAAAUGUUAGGUACUCUCCACUGCACAAUGUGAGAAGGCCUUGGGAAGCGAACCCGGAUCAGCAGGUUCAGUACCCACCUACCAUGUUGCUGACAGCCGAUCACGAUGACAGGGUCGUGCCGUUACACUCGCUGAAACUGUUGGCGGUGAGUGAUUCUUCCGUUCAGGUUCAUUUCCUUUGGGGUUUAAACGCAGGGUUUAAUUCCGUUUUGUGUGUGUGUGUGUGCAGACGUUGCAGUACGUUCUGUGUACCAGCUUGGACAAGAGUCCCCAAACCAACCCAAUCAUCGGCCGGAUUGACAGGAAGUCCGGCCACGGUGCCGGACGUCCGACUAAGAAAAUGGUAUUGAGAGAGUAAUUUCAUUUGAUGUCUGGUGUAUGGUCGCUAAUAAGGUCUGACCUUUGGUGUUAUUGCUGUAUUUGUGAAAUUACCAGAUUGAGGAAGCGGCAGAUCGGUAUGGAUUCAUGGCUAAGAUGGUGAAUGCGACGUGGACCGAGUAGAAUAUAAUUGUUUGUAUCUGUAGCACGUUUUCUUUUCCUAUAUAAUAAUAAUAAAAUAUGGAUCUCAUGCUUGUUUUCUCGGUCACAUAUUAUUAGGUAGGCGAAAGCCAAAGCAUAACAUGAUUAUAAACAUUACUUGGACGGUCCCAAUUUUAUGGGAAGUAACGACUUCCAAACACCUUCUACCACCUCUAGCAAAACUUGGCUGAGACUUCAUUGUCGCAGGUGAAGUUUCGACAGGGUCCAGAUGAAUUUAUGAGUUCUUCAUUUUUUAUGCCCCAAUCAUUCUCUUAGUUGGAAUUGAGGGGAAGAACAAUGGUGCAAUACACAUGGGAAAUGCUACUAUAGUGGCAUCUCGUAUAGAAUCUAAACUGUAAUGGAACCAGAUGUUUCAUCAAUAACUAUGGUGGUAAAUAAGAUGGAAAAUUCAUCUUUGUUUCCAUUUCCGAUUACACUUUUGCUUGUCAUGAAAGCAAACAAUUCAAAUGGUAAAAGAUUCUAUGAAUGAUAAACCAAGUUGUAAUUUCUAAUUUGCACCUCAAACGAACUGAUGGUAGAAGAGUCACGCCCAAGAGACAGCCAACUAAAUUAGGCUUUAAUAAAUAAAUAAAAAGGAAGAGUACUAAUUUGCAUUAGUCAAACCUUCAUACGGGCAGCAAAGAUCAGAAACCAUCCAUUUUCACGUCCGUAACAUCCAACUGCAAUAUCUCCGCUCUACAUCCCAAAAUCGACCCGAUGCUGUCAAACAACCAAAAAAAACUUAAGUUAGCAGUUGCUAGCAACAGGCACAGUCCAAUUUGAAGACUGGAAAAGAGAGCUAAGACUUUACCUUGGACUGGUGCGGCCAAAAUCCCCAUGAACAAAUUCCUUGAUAUAUGUCCCAGCCUGUUUUUAUUACCAGUGUCAGGUAAGCUAAACAUCGAGAUAUGUCAUCAAUAUGAAGCUUUCUCUAAAAGAGCUCCAACGGCUAUAGCAGGGAAAGGAGGUCAAGCAGAAAGGAGAUUGCGCAAGUUAUUUAAUGUCAAUUGAGUUUCCAACAGACAGCAAUAUAGAAUAAUGCAUGCUUCUUGGUUCGCUGGAUAAGAUGCAUAUUUCCUUGACAAAUACAUCACCAAAUACACCAUACCUGUGUGCACAAGUGUAGCAGAAAAUAUUGAGAACUUUCAGCAACCCUCUCGAUUUUCAUCCUACAGUAUUAGCAGAAGAGGAAGGCUCGUUAGCAUCUCGGAGGUGGGAUUAGAUAGAAGCACUACAAGCAUAGAGAAAAUGUAACGCUGAUAAUCUUAUGUUGUUUAACAACCAGUGUAUCAUCUUUUCACGAUCUAGAGGACUUCGCCGAUGAAGCACCCUUAUUGGGGUCCUUUGUGAAAUUUUCUGCACAAUCAGCAAAUGACUUCAACAAACAUAACAAUGGAAGUCCUUUAUGUUGUUGAUCUGAGAACCGCUUUUAUCUUUACAGUGAAAAGAAAACAGGUUAGAACUUUUACCAUAUCCUUCAGUGUAAUUAUAGACUGCACGUCUUGAUCUUCAAGUGGGCGUGAAAUCCACACUAAUGAACAGUAUUGUUUCUGCGUGAAAUGAAUGCAAAAGGGAAAAAUAAUAAGUAAGAAAGGCUAUGCAGAACCGGAGACAUAGGCGUCGCGUAUAAGUGGCAGAGGAGCGACAAAACACCUGCUUUUCCGAUUCACCUUCAUGCAUUAAACCCCAACCGUUAUUAGCUUCCAAUUUAAGAUUUCUCACUGCAACCUACAGCACGAGAUGUUUCGUAUUUGACACUGAGGCACAUGAGGGCGAAUGAAUAAACACCGUAUAAGAUGGUGAAUUUGAAUACACUAACCAAUUUUUUCUCCAUGUUGUUUAUUUUUAUUUCUGUUUCUUUAAUAAUAGCCUCCGAUGGAAUAUUUCGUGCAUUUUGUAUUUCAACCAAGAAGGGUCUACCUGAACCCAACAUCCGCACCUGAAAACCAAAAAAGACGGCAUUCCACUCAGACAAUGAAAAAAAAGAUAAGUAGGAAAAAGAGAACAGAGAGGAGGAGACAAUAUCAUGUACAUCAAUAUCCUCUCUGCCAGCAGCAUGGAACUUGUAACUGUCACCUUGACAAGCGGGAAGUAUGUUGCUUCCUAUUAUUUCCUGCAUUAGUACUCUUAAAAUUGUUAGUCUAGUUCAUCAUUGUAUAACGAGAAUUUCUAACAAAGCAUGGGGACAAUUCACAAGCACCAGUACCUCGACAGAGGAUUCUCCCAUUCUUUCAUCAUCAAUAAUCCAACGUGUUUGACUAACAUUUCUUGAGAACUGCAUAAAGUAAGCAACCCUUCAUUGUAGCAUACAUCAAUAUUCCAUUUCUUAAUACCGUUAUACCGCAUGACCCUACUACUACACACCUUGAGGUAUCUCCCACCGAAGUAGACAGAUGUUCGGUAGCAAUGGAGAGCCAUGUAGUAGGGUUCAUCGACCUGCAAAGGUGGAACAGAAAACUUAAUUAGGGAUGCCACUACAUACAGCCAUCAAAAGACCACAUAACCAAGCAACAAUUCUUCAGGAAGAAAAAAAGCAUUUACUAAACACCAGUUACUUCUCACCAAAAACGAAGCUCUUCUUAAAACAUCUUAGAAAGAUAUUGUUUUGACAAGCAAUCAACACCAAGGACCAAUCUUGAGUUUACAAGUUAAGACAACGGGAAUACCUUUCCCAAAGGAAACUUGAAGAUCUCUGAAGACUCAGAGCUGUUAGAAGAUCUGUCACUGACUGCAUUCACAUCAGCUGCAAAGAAAUAAUAAACAGAAAGAACUGAUCAGUAACACAUGCAAAAGGCAUCCAUUUGCUGAGUACUAAUUCUUGCAGCUGUACUGACUACAAGCCGUCAUAAAUCUAACUAGCAUUUAUUGAAUAUUGGGUGUAACAUCAAUGCAGCGAAAGCAGAAUUGUGUGGUAAUAGUGCCCACUAGAAAUGAGUUGAACUGUGAGCAGAAAGUGAUACACAGUUCUUGUCUUAAAAGUUGAACCAGAAUUAACACACCCCAAUUCAUCAGUUCUACUUACCCAGUUUUCUUCUCUUGCAAGCUUCAUUUCUUUCUCCUGGAGACUUAGCCAUACAAGAUGACUUUAUUUGACUGUACGUGAGACGGAUACGGAAAGAGCUUGGAGUAGAGCUGGAUUUAACAUUCUGCAAAGCUUCAAUUUGGUAAAGACUAAAUGGAGAUAUGAACAUUGUUAGAAUUAAACAGGCAGUUUCUCAGCAAGAUGCGACUUAUGCCAUUAUUACAUCAUAACAAAAAUCUGUAUGAGCAAACCAUUAAAGCAGUAUAAAAAGUUGUACUCACCAGCAUACUUUCAAGAGGAUUAGUUAUUGCCAGUUUUAGGGCAUCCUUAGCAGAAACACAUUUUAAAGUCUCUUCUGCAAAACCAAGCUCUGGUCCAUACUUCCUCUUCAUAUACGACCUACGAGAACAUAAAUUAAAAGCUCUAGCCAUGGUGAAGCAACAGAAGAUCACAUCAACAAAGUACAAUAUAAAACAUAAUUGACUUCGGUGGCUUCAGUUGAGAUUGAUGAUGGUUAUAGUUGCUUUUAUUCACAUAUAAAUUCCCAUGCCAAACAUAAAUUUCUCAUAUGUUUAUGCAAAAUCCAAGCUCCAGGAGAAAGGAGACUGCUCUUACCAGACUACAUCAUCAUUUUCAGAGAUGACAGGCGGUACCGACACUUCAAGGGAAAAACUACUGAUCUCAUGACCCUCUUGCUUUACGAGUUCAGCAACCGAAGCAGCUAAGCAGUCAGCACUCACCUUUUGCACCAGUAUGUCUUUAUCAUCCCGAUAAAAGUACUGCAAAAUGCCUAAACACAUCCUGCAUACAAUCGGUUGAACUUCUGAUUCCUUACAUGUAGAAGGAUCCGUUGCCUUCUCCUCUCCUCCAUUACAUUCAAAAAGUAUCCCGUACUGGUCCAAAUAUUCAGAUUCCCCAAGAACAGAAUGCACCAUAGAUUUUGAAAUAUAUGGACGAAAGUAAAUGUGAUCUCUGAAUCCAAACAGUCUGAGGAUGCAUCUGAUGCAGACCUGAAACAGAAUGAAAGGCCAGUUAAAAGUAAUCCAAUACAUUAUAGUUAAAGCCACAAAGAACGACAUCCGCUGAUUGCAGUGGAGCAAUGCUGGGUAAUUUUAAGAAACCUAACUCCAUAGACUUUCAAUUGCCUCCAGCAUUGUCACAGACAUCAAUCAAGAACGAAAUUCAGACGUAACAAAGAACGAAACAUUCCUCAAUACCAGAAGCACCUGAGCGAGCGCUCCCACCGUCGCAAACUUAAAAGAGUAUAAGACAAUGAACCUUCCUAAGAGUACCAUAAACAUUCGCAAAUACUGACAGUUUAUCAAGCGAUCAAAUAUUCGGCAUGCAAAAUACUGCCAAAGUAGAACUAACGAAACUGGAAUCCACUAGCUAAGCCGACGAACGAAGAACAGCUUAAUCUAGCUUCUCAUAUGAGAUUGGGGGAGAGCGAAGCGAACCUCAGAGGUCAACAAGUCCUUGACGGCUUCAGGAGGCAAGGAACGAAUGGCGUCUGCGAGGAGUCCCGCCUCCUUGUCAUUGCCUCCCGCGACGUAGUUCGCUACCGCCACCUCCGCUGCGGUGGUUGGUGUGUCGGACAGAAGUUCAGCUUCUUUUCCCCCUGACAUUCUUAUGAAACUCGUCGCUCUGGGAGUAGCGGCGACCAGCGAGUAUUCGGAACCUGUCCCGGCGGAACUCUAACUGGUGGCGGCUGUUUAUGGAGCCGCAGAUGGUGGAGAGAGCUGAGUGAGGGUGAUGGGUCGCGAUGGUGGACAGAGAAGAAUUAAUUCUCCUGACCGAAAGUAUUGAUUGGAUUUAGGAAUUUCAGCAGGCCUACUUAUAUAAAAAGAUGUAUUUGUUUCUCAGAAAACGCAGUGGAGGCAUGUUUUCUUCCGCCGCUCUCCUCCGGCGAUUCUCUCUCUUCCAGAGAACUAUGACGUCCUCUAACACUAUUUGAGUCUACAGAAGAACAAUCAAAGGUAAGUUUUUCCUAGUUCCUACUUUGGGUUCCUUUUUCAUUAUGGAGUUCGUGAAAGGAAAAGAAAAACAUUCAGAUCCAAGCUUACUGUUUUCAAUCGAUUCGAAACUCGAUGGUUAAUUUCAAAUUGUGGUUUGAUUGAUUUUGUUAGGAAGGAGGACUGGAUUGGAUCAGUGAGUUACCUGAUGAACUACUUGUGAAAGUGGUGUCCCGUUUGAGCAUGAAGGAAGCAAUCAGAACUUCAGCAGUCUCGAGAAGGUGGGAAGAUUUGUGGAAAUUUGCAGACUUGGAAUUGGACUUCGAUGCUACCGAUGAGUUGGUUGCAGAUUAGCUAGGACUCAAUUUCAGUUUACCUCCUGAACAGAAACAGCGGUUCCACAAUCGGGUGAAUGGGGUUGUGAUGCAGAUGAUGCAGACCCCAAAACUAGGCAAAUUUAGAGUCUUUUACCAGUUGAGUAAAGAAGAAGCCUCCAAUUCCAAGGAAAUGGAGGAUAUUGACACAUGACUAGACUUCGCCAUAUCGAAAAGAGUCGAGUCUCUCCAUCUAGCGGUCAAUCUCACCCAUCCCGGCCGCAUACCUCACUGAGAAAUGCUUCAAACACGUCCAGCUAAUCAGCUUAGAUCCUUACGAUUGGGCUAUGUGGACGUCUCGGGAGAGAUUCUCGAGCAUUUCAUCGCUAGCUGUCCUCUCCUCGAAGAGCUAGUCGUAUGUUCUGAUGCCCUAACGAAGCUCAGAGUGGUGGGUGGUCGGCGAUUGAAGUACUUGGAAAUACGAAGGUGCAGGAGUUUGAAAUUUCUUGAGAUUGAUCAUGCACCUUGCCUCACUUCCUUUGUAUAUGAUAACAACCACCCUGUGGACGAGUUUCGAGUGGUUAACUGCCCGCUUCUUGUGGACUUGGUUCUACAUUUCAGUCACUACAAUCCGGGACCGACGCUUUGAUAUUUUUCCAGCUAUGCUCCUCAGCUGGAGGCCCUUGGCCUGGAAAUAGUGCCCCAGUACAUGCCGCUGGUUGAUGAGGUGGUGGAACACACUCGCCUUGAGCGGCUAAGAGUGGGAGUUGUGGUUGAUGGGAAUAGCUAUCUUCUUAGAUUGAUUCCCUUGAUCAAUGCUUGUCCUCGUUUGCAGACGCUGCAAUUGUUCGUAAGUGUUGUUUUCUAUUUGAUUUUCAAAUUUUGAAACUUGGGAUCUAUUGCCCUUUCCUCACUGUGGGUCUUUUUUCUUCUUCUUGUUUGUGAGUGCAGUUGCAUACUUACCCUGGCACACACGACUUUCGUCUAGACGUGAUCGAUGUAGUUAAAGUAAGCCAGGAGAGCAUUAAAGUGGUGGAAAUAGUUGGAUUUCAUGGCUACGUCAUGGAGCGUGAGUUUGUGGAGUAUGUGAUGAAGUAUUUUGUGGGUUUAAAAAGAAUAGUGAUCGAUCGAUGCCUGACUCGUUUUACAAGUUUGUCUUAUGCUGCUGAUUCAGUAUCCAAAGGAACCCAGACUUCAUGCACCAAAGAGCAAGCACAUGAAGCUGAAAAGCUGGCAUUGGAGUACAAAUCGAGAGCACCCGCAAACCUCGAAUUUGUUGUAAUUUUGUAGUUAUUUCUUUUUAAUCUAUCUUUGAUGUGUUACUAUUCCAGAUGUUGCAUUUGAAAGCUAUUCGAGUAAUUAUAAUUAUUUGUACAUCGAAUGGGGAAGAGACUCCAUAUGUACAAUGUAAGAUUGUUUGAUGGAAGUACACUCUGUUAAGAAUUUGAUAAUAUAAGAGAAGUAAGUUAAGAAUUUGCGUUUCUUGAUCAAAUAUCCCAGUUUUUCUGCAGUACACUCAGAGCUAAACCUUGCUUACCUUCUUUGCUCGGUCCAAAGAAGACUUGUCUGAAGUUAUAAGUACUUGGAACGAUCUUACUUUCCAUCAUUUCACACAAGUGCAGAGCCUGUUCAGACUACUCGAAAACGUGGAAUCCUUUUAUGCACCAUUGGAGGUCUCUUCAUCAAUUACAGUAGGAAGUGGCCUCUUUAGUGCAUUGGUUUUCGAAUUCUGGACAAUGAAGAUGGCCUUUUCUAAAGUUUCUACGCAUGUUUCAGCUCGCCAGCCUUGAUAGCCUUUCGUCUUUAAACGUAGAAACAAUCUGUGAAUGCCUGGACAAAUUCUUCAUCGUCCUUCUUACAUAAGCCGGUCACUCACUACCUAUAAUAAACAGUUGCAAUGAAGUACUCGAACAUAGAAGUCUACGUUUGAUCAAUGCAAGCUCAAACAUAUGGACGACGGGAUUCCAUGUUCCCAUAACAAAGUCUAACCUUCUGAUAAAGUUUGAAACCACUUAAAAUUAUCUGUCUUGAAACCACUUUCCAUCCAUCUCUUCCAUGUCAAAUCUAUUUCCAGCUUAAACCUUCUACGAUCCGAACAUAUGAGAAAUGCAGUUACAUUUCUUAAGCUAUGAUUACGUCCUGAUCAUAGCCAAAGGUAACACAAACCCUGCAGAGAGGAAAAGGGAAAGCAAACCUUUGGAUCAACUCAAAUAAUUUCAACACAAUUCGAUACUUCAUUUUCUCCACGGACAGUCCAAACCCGGCGACAUGUUCUUCAUCAUCCUUCUUACAGAGAAGAAAAGGUAAGGAUCUGCCAAUGCCUGGACAUAUUCUUCAUCAUCCUUCUUACGUAAGCCAGUCACUACCUAUAAUGAACAGUUGCCAAUAACUCUUUUGACAGCUCAAACUCAAUUUAAGCUCCGUUUUGGUAGCCAGCUUUACAAGCCAAUUUUUUUAGUUCUUGAGGUGAGGCUAGGUGAAUUUAAUCUUUACCAUGAGUAGACUGACCCAAUUCCGAUUUUUCCAUUAGUGGGCCAACUGACUGAUUUUCUAUUUUGGUUUCACUUAUAGUUUUAAAUUUUUGUACGAUAGGUCAUUAUAUUUAAGAUUUUACAUCAUGUCUUUAUAAUCCGUUUGUGGCUGCAUAGGAAAUCUAUCAACUAGUUUCCAAUCAUUUACCCCAUAAUUGUCCGUAGUGGAUGCCACUUCAGUUUGUGGGGCCAAACUUUAAAAAAAACUGAAAUCUUUCUCCGCCAUCUCGCCACCACCUUUCCAAAACUCCAUCUCCUCCUUCUCGAUCCGACUUUGGUCAUCUUAAUCCUCUAUUUUGUUUCUUCUCGUUGUGGCGAAUCUAAUCCUCCUACUCUGUCGCCGCAACAGCAGCCGUCAUCCACCAAGUUUGUCGUUGUUACGGCAAGCUUGGUAUGUGACGACGGUGACAGAGUAGGAGGAUUCGAUUCGUCACAACGAGAAAAAACAAAACGAGGUUUGAGAUGAUCGGAGCUAGAGUAGUAGUUUUCUCUUUUCCCUUUUCACUGAACUGCAGGAGUUGGAUUGAAGAGGAGGUGAUGAGUUUCGGGAAGGUGGUGGCGACGAUGGUGAAGAAGAGAUGGAUUUCUGUUUGUUAAGUUUGGCCCCGCAAGCUGAUGUGAUAUCCACGUGCGUUAUUACCGGGUGGAUGAAUGAAAACUGGCUGAAGGACUUUCUAUGCAGCAAUAAACAGACUAGAGCAUACGGUGCAAAAUCUUAAAUAUAGUGGCACACCGUGUAGUAAAAUUUUACUCGAUUUCAAUCAUUUUUUGUCAAAAUAGACCGAAACUCUCGAUCAAUAUAAGAUAGAAGACAUCAAAUACACACAACAGGGUGUCCAUUUUAUGGGGUAUUUUUAUCACUCUUACUUUAUACUAUAUUUAUCUCGAAGUUAAUUUCUUCUUUUUCCAAUGUAGUAUUAAAAAACACAACUUUUUGAAAAAUUCUUUAAGACUUCAUUUAAUACGUGUGAUAUUGAAUAUCAUGAUAUUUGAGAUAUCUAGAUAUUAAUAAAUAUUGAUAUUAGAGGUGAAAAAUGUGAAAUCGUUGAUUGGUUUAUGAUAUUAGGUUAAAAAAUUCAAUUACAUAUAUGCCCUCAUCUUCCACCUUCCUUCUCUUUCCAUCGCUUCCUUCCUGUAAAUUGAUCAUAUACUCGUCUGAGCAUGAUGAACAAUUUUUAUUCAUCAAGUUGUGUAUAUUAAAGAAAGGAACUGUACAGGAAAAAUGAACCAAACAACAAAAACAUCCCUAUACCAAAACCUUCACCUGAGAAAAACUAUACCUGUAAAACAAUUCUUACUCCUUAACGAAAUCGGGCAAGUACCAUUACAAUUUUAACUAUGAAAUUGAAAACAACAAAAAAAAUCAACUCUUGCUGUUAUCCCCGGCUGAAAGACAGAGGCCAUUCAACGAGCUUGAGAAGGUUGUUCGCCGUCCUCCUUCUGUAAAAGUCGAAGGCCUGGUCGAAAGGUUGAAGGCCAACCAUGGAGCUUCCUUUUAAUUUUUGGAGACAAGAGUCACAGAGGGAAGAUAAUGGUGCAGGAGAGAGAAGAUGAUGGACUAAUUGUGCAGGAGAGAGAAGAUGAUGGUGCAGUAGUGGACCAGUGGCAGCAAUACACAUAAAGUGAAGGGUUAUUUUGGUAAAAAUUACCGAUAUCAAUAUCACUUUCGAGCGUAGGUGAAUUUUUCGAAAGUGAUAUUGAUAUAAUUUUUAAGGCGAAAUAGCUAGCUAUUCGUGACUUGGAAAACAAUGAUUUUAUGAAUAACUAGCUAUCACUAGAUAUCAAACCCAAUAUCUAGCAUAUACCAAACAAGACCUAAUAUCGCUCCAUAUAUCAAUGUCAUGCAUGACACUGAAGAAAGCAGGGAUCAUCUUGCACUCUACACAAUACAACAAGCAUCCAACAAUAUGAGAAACAUUUCACAAUCCAUUCUAACUACCUAAUUGGAGAGUUCACAAUUUUAACUUGUUCAUUGGAAUAAGAAGCAAGAAAAGGGAACUAGUACAACUUAGAAAUCCUUGGCAAAUACGACCUUAGUUGUUUAUGUAUGUUUAAUCUUUGUUUUUUGUGUGUCAACUAUCUUUCCACGCUUUAGAUGGUUUGUGUUUUGUGUCAGUUUGGUCAUUCAAUCACAUACCUCGAAAUUUCAAUUUAGUUCAUGAAAGUGAAACAUAUUCUGUAAGGAAUGAGUGUAGAUUCAUAUCGAACAUCAUCAUCUUCGAAUUUGAAGGGAUACGAUGGACUCUAAAUAUUUCGGUUUCAAAAAUAUGCAGAAGUGGUCGCCAAUAGAAUCGCCCCCUGCUCAUUUUCUCGUUUGUACAUGCAACAGCAGCCAGAGGACUCAAAUUUUGUUUGAUGCAAAUCCUCAAUCCGUACUGAAAUGAACAUGUAAAAUGUAAUUUUGUUGCAUAAUCAGGACGACAACAAAAACAUAUAUAUAUAUAUUUCCAGUCAUAGGAAUUUCAAUUUACUAAUAAUUUCUAUGACGAAGAAGGGUUUAACCAGAAACCGUAAUCGGUUUCCUGUAAGUCAUGGACCAUAAUGAUUACCCAAUGGCAACGAGCAGACGAUUUAGCCUAUGGCUUACUGACCUUUCAUCAAACUAAGUGGCUUCAUUCAUAUGCAUACAUUACUUAUUCUUCACUGACAAGAGACAACCAAGUUCUCUUCUGGUGGUUUGUUUUCACACAGUCUGCUUCACAGAUUUACAGCGCUGAAGGUAUAUGACGAAGAUCGACAUAGCCAGCCAGGACGGUCCGGUUUCUUUCCUUCACUUUAGUCUGGUACAGGACCCUGCAAAAAAUUUGGAAGCCCUGUCUCAGCUACUCAAAUCGGAGAGAAAUGCGAGUGUCAAUGUUCCCUUCGAGUGAUGAUUGAAUAUACCUUGAUCCUUGAAGCCACAUUUCGGUGAUCAAAGUCUCACCGGGGUAAACAUGUAACAGGAAUCUGCCUAGGAUGUUCUUCACUAUGUUUACGUCUCCUCUACCGAUGCAUUUGAUUAUUGCUCUGACCGCGAAUCCGAGGGAGCACAAUCCGUGCAAUAUUGGACGCGGGAAUCUGCAGUUAGUUUUGGAACAUGAUCAGAUACCAAAUUUUCAGAGUACUUUGAGACCGUGAGGAAUGGAUUGGCAAGGUUACAAACCCUGCAACACUAGCAAUGGCAGGAUCUGAAUGCAAAGGAUUAUAGUCCCCUGACAGCCUAUAUAGCAAUGCCUGCGCAAAAAAAAAAUGAUACGAAAGCCAACAAUCAGUAUCCAAAACCCUCAUACUGUAGUAACAAAACCAUACUCCAUAUGUCACUCAGGGCAGGAAACCUCUCGGAUGUGCUGCAAACUUGCUAUCGAGAAGGGCAUGGUUAGCUGCAAGUCCGUAAUUUAAUAGCUCCAAAGAAUUGGUAUAAAUAUAAUGAUCCUAACAUGUACCACAGUACUAGUGACAAGGUUUGAAGUUACUUGCCUGAGAACGUUGAGUAACAUCCUCAAAUACAGCCGACGGUUGAGUUUUGGGGAUUUUAACUGCACCAACUUGGUCUUUUGGAUACGUGGAAUAUGAAUACGGAUGAGAUGACUUCGAGAACCCACCAGCUCCCCUCAGAUAAGCAGUAGAUCUGCAGACCAGGCAAAAGAUAAUAUCACAGCUCGGCUAAAAGCUAGGUGCAUCAGAAUAUGAGGUGCCUUAAAGAACUCACCUGGUCAUGCAUAGUAGUUCUCCAGAUUCCUUCUCGUAACUCUUUGUCUCAACUUCAACAAUAGCUGCUUUGCCUGCAAGUAUUAAUAUGAAGGUAAAAAAAGAACAUUUAACAACCUCACAAGAACAGCCGAUAGUUUCAAACAAGCCAGGGUAGUUUGAAGAUAUACAAACCUUUGUCAUGCAGACCAGCGAGACUUAUCUUGUUCAGUAGCUGCAUCAUCAACAUAAUCACAAACAGGAAAGUUCAAAGACCGAAAACAACAGACGUAGAUUGAAGAGUCUCUCCACAAUGAACAAACUUACAGAAGCACUCGACGGGAAUGGCUUGUACAUCUCUAUAUACUGCUGCCCGUGCAACAGAAGCCGCGGAUCAUAGCUGACAGAAACAAACGGAUUGUGACUUUUGUGAUUCUGAAUGGAGCAAGGGGAAAAGGACCACUUGUAUGAGUUUCUGAAUGCUUACUCUAAACCCGGAAUAUCCAAACCAUUCACCAUUACUCCAACCGAAAACAAGGUAGAAAAUGUUGGCAGAACCUACCAAAAACGUAGAUGAAAUUACGUUAGCGAUCCAGAGUGACCUCAACAAUUAGUCAACGACGCAGCUAUCGAAUCCCUAAUUCUGAAAUCAUUCCCCUUUAGUUAACAAACUGUUGCUGCGGGAAAAUUAUAUAGCUAAAAAUACCUGGAUAGAGUUUUGACCGUUUUCAUGAUAAACAUACUUGAGCUCGUCAGCAUCGACGGCAUCUCGACCACAAGCUCCGAUUCCGAGAGCGUAAAGAGCAACGUCUCUGUAAGCAGAAAGAGAUUGAUAAAACAACAAAUUCACGGGAGGUGCACAGAAUCAACCCAAAAAAAUAAAAGAGAGAAGUUUACCUCUCCGUGUAAUCGUAAGUCGUCUAGCCAUCCAAACGAGAAAUGACAAAGCAGCAGCGGGAAGAAGAAAAAGAAGAAAACAAUGGGAUUUGAGUGAAUCUUUUUUGUCUGUGAAUGAAAACUAGAACUGAUUCAGAAUUGGUUGCGAGGGUACCUCAGGGAAUCUGUGAGAAGCAACAAGGGCAUGACUGAAUCCUGAUCCGUCCGCCAUAGAAUUAGGAAGGAGGUUUCUAGGCAGUGAGUUGUUUUGAAGGAAGAGUUGCCAGAAAUGAAAUAUACAAGGAGAAACGAAGAAUGACUGGACUUGCUAUAUAGUUAAGUAGUAACCAGUAAUGAGUUACAAUUGAGAAGUACAAUGUAGGGAAUAAGACGUCUUUAACGAUUGAUUCCGAUUAUGAAUUGUAAUGUUAGAUUCUAGGAUUUCUACCUAUCUCUGUUGAGGUAAGUUUUAUUAUAACAGACAUUUUCUGGACAUUUUGAAUCCCAAGAAGAUAACGGAAGGAGAUAAGUUUGAUGAUCAGCUCAGUCUUCACAAUGUUUUUGAUCAUUGAUGCAGUUUGGUUAGGUAGAGCCGUGGAAGAAAAGGCAUCCAACCUCUUGAACAUUCAUAAGUCUAAUUAGAUUGGAGAUCAAACGUGUAGAAACCUUUUACAAUUGCGAGUAUAACAGGAGUGAAGAACACAAAGAAAGAAUUAAUAAUGCGACCUCGAGCUGAGGACGUCGUUACAUCAACUGGUUGGUCUCAAAUGGUACAAACAACAGAGCUUCCUGCCUCCAACUUCACAAUUUACCCUAAUCAACAAAUCAAUCUUAUCUUCCUUUCCUCUUUUACUACCUCAAAUCUCAGCAUAUAUUAUUACCAUAAGCACUGCGUCGUAGCUAACUUGUUGGGUUUUUUUUUACAUCGGACGUGUGUGUCGGCCGGCAGCUCUGCCGCAAAGAAGUGCGUUCUUAGGAAUAGGGUACUCGUCCCUGAGUGAAGUCGACGUCGUGAAAACCCUCAGAUAGAACUGUUGACCAAGGUACUGUCGUGCCCAGUACUCGGACCUCAAGUUCCACAUUCCCACGUUGUCUAGCGCUAUAUAGAUUGCACUCCAUGAAUUUGGAUAUACCUGUCAAAAACCAAUGUUCACCCGCAAACUUUAGACACGAGAACUCAACCUGGAUUCAUAAAGUUGAACAUAUAUGGAAAUCUGGGAAAUAUUUGUAUUCAAAGUGUCAUUUUGGUUUAAACUUUUACCUGAACAGUGCUUCUAGAGACGGCAUCCCUUAGAUUGUACUGGUUCCUGUUGGCACUUGUCCAUUUUCCUCCAUCCAUUCUGCAUCCCAAUUAUUGCCUCAUAAUUUAGAACCAAAACUACAUAAAAUUAAAAUGAAGAAACAGAUCACCAAAUGAUAUAGAAUGGAGAUUUACCCGACGACCCAGAAGCUGUAGCCAUUGAGGUGCCAACUCUGAACAAUGUUCUCGGUGUUCUGGAACACAAUCUCUAUGAAUGUUCUGUAGUCAACUGUCAAAACGGAGGUGUCUAGGUAGAUGCCACCACCGUUAGGCCUAUCGGAGAUGCUGUUCUCCUUGAAAACACCUUGGAUUUUGAAGUAGUCGGCCAGCUUCAACGGAGUGUCCGCUGGAAUGAACGACACGCUGUUCACGGCGUAUCUCUGCUUGCGGUUCACUUGUCCAGCUGAGUUCGCCAAGACGAUUGUCCGACUCGUGUUGAUCAUACCGUAGUGGUAAGACCCCUGUGGGUUGGGCCUCGGCCCACUUGCUGUCAAAUUAGUCCUGAUGGAGCGGGCCUGGUUGAGGGACCAAUCGAUCUGAUCGGUUGGGCCACCGGGCGGUGGGCCGGAUACUGGGCCGGCAGAGUUGCUGUAGUGAAGAACGCCAGUGGUAGUGAUGACCGGAGUUGUCCAGCGAGAUGAUACCACGAUGUAGUAGUCCUUGCCGGGCUGGUCGGCGGUGAACAGAACGGAGUAAGAUUGACCGAGGUGGACGUCCAAGGAAGAGUAGGUGGUCUGGAGAGUGUGAGUUCCUUCCACUUCGACCAGCUUCAUCUUGUGGUUUUGGAUGCGGAAAUUGAGCGAGUUUUGCAACCCAACGUUUGAAAUUCUCAGCCUGUAAGUCUUGCCUGAAACAAGUUAAAUGUAAAUUAUCAACGGCAAAGCAAAAUAGGAGGAGUUAUUUAAGAUGCUAUUCCUUUUGUGUGUAAGUUACCUGGCUGGACGGGAAGGGAGUAGCCGUUAGAUCCUCGGCCAUUGAUGAGGAUGCCAUUUACAAGAGGCAACCUAUGGCCACCAUCCAAGACGCGCUUCAAGGUCUACAAUUCAAAACAAAUGUUUAUAAAUUCAACUCGAGCAAAGUAUUUCGUAUUUAUCUUUAUAAUCCAAUGCAAUAUAAGUCCACACAUAGAAGUUAUUUUUACUGUUUAACAAGGAUAUUUGUUUCAGUAUUUGAUAGCAUGAGCACUCUGUUGGACAAAGCAUUGGAACUUAAGAUAUUGCGUAAGCAACAGUCUAUUUCAAGCAACUCUGUGCUGGCCAAAAGACUAGAAUUGACGUUUUUGGAUGUAAAUAAAAAAAUAUGUAAUAAUGGAUCCAUAUGAGAUGAUGGCGUCCAAAAGCAACAACAAAACUAACAUGAAAUCAGGUAAAAAACCACGGCCUGGGAAAAUGCUGAACAACUGUCCCUUCUCAUAAUGUGAAACAGAUUCGAAGCACAAGAGAACAAGUAGCUGUCAAAAGAUGGUUAUUAUAUGGGAUUUGGUUCUGUUCCAGUUGACUAAACGACAAUCAAGAAACUACUGUAAUGCCAAGACCAGUAUAAAAUCAUAAUUAAUUAAUUUUUUUGUAAAAACUGAAACUUUACCAGCUAGAAAUGAUUACUGAAAGAUUUACCGUGUGAUUAGCCUUGUACCAAUCUCCGAUGAGAACGGUGAAGUCACCGUCGGGGUCAGAAAAUGGAACAGGGAUCCCGGGACGGCUGAGGAUUCUGAUCCCUCCGAAUCCACCCACUGCCUUGUGGAAUCCAAGUGAAGGGAAGUAGUAGAAACUACCGAUCUGGUCCUUUGCUUGAAGAAUGUAGGUAAAGUUCUUCCCCGGUGGGAUUGGACAAGUGGUUCCGUAUACCCCAUCCUCGUAUGAAUUUCUCCUCUGUUGCAUCCCAUUCCUAUACAAAUAACAAACCUUUUGGCUCGUUAACUAAAUAACAAACCUUUUGCCAAUUUAUCAGUCUCUUAUCUGCUCUGUUAUACAGAAGUGGAAAGUGGAAACUCGACUAAUUCUGGCAAGACCAAAAGGUUAUACUUUGUCCAAUCUAUAUUACACCAUUACAGGCAUUAAAUGCGCCUAAGCGUCGUGUCAACUAAAUGUCUGUGAGCUGGAUGGCGGGCUCAAAUGGUUAACUAUGGGGGACAGCUAGAAAUAGUAAUGGAUGUUCUACAAGAAAUAGAAACAGUCAAAGAUGAGCAAAUGUUUGACAAAAAAAGAGGAAAAUUAAAUUGCGGUACCAAUUGCGAAAUACACAAGACUACAUUUUCCACCGCCUUAACUAACUGGCCAUGACUGAGGAAGUCGUUUUUCACCAAUAUGAUAUCACUACUUGAACUGUUUUUACAGGAAAAGUAACGUGUGUAGCUGAACUUCCAUGAUAAUUGGCUCUGCUUGUUGAUGAAUUAGAAAAAAGAAAACUGCGUAAUUAAAGAAUGCCGAUGAAUAUACUACUGUUACUUCAGACGCAAUUAAUUCAAACAGAGGAGAUCCAUCACCUAUUCACCAUCAUCCUGACAUAACUACGAAAGAAAAACGUAGUUUAUCAAUUUAAACACUAAGCUGUUUGCUCACGCAUCCACUGUGAUGGCGGCCGACGGAAUACUACAGCGGUGAUUGGUUGGUGGUGCGGUAUUAGUUAAAGGGCUAAAAGAAUGCAGAUCUGGAGUUUGGAAAAAAAGCGGGAUCCAGCAGUUAGCACUUUCCUCGAAAAGCAGAUCACGAGCCAAUUAUGAUAUCCUCAUUUAGUAAUCGAAAGCAAUGCUAAACAGAAUAAAUAUUAUGCAGAGCUUAACAAGCCGCGUGGAGGUUGGAUCAGAUUUGAGAAUAUCAAUGUGGGAAAAAAAACAUAAAUGGAAUAUCGGUUCAAGAAUUACUUUCCAUCAAUUUUCCAGAUCGGGAAAGUUCACAAUCAAGAAGAAAAUCAACUGUGUGGACAUAGACAGCAGAAGGAUAACGAAUUGUAAAAGCAAGAAAGACUGCAGAUACAGAAAGAUGUGUAGAAUUAGGUUUACCAAGAAAGAAGGAAAGGCUCGUCCAAGCUAUUGAUGACAUUGAUAAUGAUAUUAUCGUUGGUAACGCAGUGAAUGUCAGGUCCAGGGAACUGGCCGUUGAUUAGAAUGCCCUGUUUGAUUUCCAUGAAAAUAAAACGUAUUCAGAGUAAGCUCAAGAUUCGAAAUCGGAAGGUUUCUUGAGAGACGAAGGGACUCACUCUUUGGCGUACUCCGAGAGGGUAAAUGUCACCAUAAGUGACGUUCCAAUUGAAGAAACGGUAUGGACUCUCGGCUCCGACGAGGGAGAAGAGAGACAAAGCGGUAGUAGCUAGUAGUAGGAUCGAGUGAGAUCCGGCUAAUUUCUGCAGCAUUUUGGCCGGAGGUAUCAAUGCAGCAAGGGAUUUUUGCGUUGUUGGUGUACUUUGAUUUUCUCCAAGAGAUUUUGUUCAGUUGGGAUACAGGGAGCGAGAAAAUGAGGGAGCAGGAAAAGGGAGGGAAUGAUGGAGGAUGGAGGGGCUGGGUGAUGGCGCGGUAUAUAUAAUCCAGUGCUGUGCGGAUUACAGUAGGGAUCCGCGUAGGAAUGCGCCGCGGAAACGGAAAUGGCUUUCUCUUUUUAUUUUAUUUUUGAAAUUUUAAAUCUAAUUUUGAAUUUUUGAAAAGGAGAAACAAAAGAAAAUGAUGCGAAAAGGAGUUGUCGGUGGUGGGACCCUAGCCGCGUAUCAGCACUACGACUCAACAAUUUGAUCUGGUUUUUCCAUUAACGACAAAUUCAUUUUUUAACCAAACUCAAUUUAGUUAAUUUUCAAACUUUGUAAGUUCUUUUUGUGUGAAUUAUUUGCCUAGAAAUAAACUUUGAUCUUAUUAACAGAUUGUUCAGUAUUUGAGAUCUAAAAUGUGAUUUCCUUAACCGGUUGUGAUUAAUUGCGGAGAUUUAAGAUAUGAAAUUAGUUUUGAUUAAUUGUGGAGAAUUACUAUGUUUUUAAGUAAUAUUUUUACAAAUUGUUACGGUUUGUGUUUUACUUUGUAUAAUUCGUAUACUAUAUCCUUGAUAACACAUUUAUUUAUUAUUUUAUUCAAAUCGUAUUAAUCAUCAAUGACGGCCUCAAGAUUCUCCCUCUUCCACAAAAAUCUACGAGUUUAGCAAUGGCAGCUUCGAAAACUUCUCUUUUUGUUGAUUCGCUUUUCAAAAAACUCGUAUCGUAUUGAUGACUAAUAUGAUAAGAGUUAUUUUAAAAGACUAGUAACUACAUCUUUUUUAAAAGGGUUUAUUAUUCCAAUUAUAUUAAAAUACGGACUGCACGAAGUGAAAUACGAAUUGUAUAUAAGAACACCGUAUAUAACAAAAAUUUAUCUUCUAUAGUUCCAUUGAAAACCUUAGUAUAGGUUUGUGUAGCUUAGACUCGUAAAAGCAGCUCCUUUAUAACAAUUAAGAGUAGAUUGAGCAAGAUAUAAAAAAAAUUACAAAAUGAGAAAUUAAUGUUACAGGAUCCAAUAGAAAUUAAGAAUAAAAACCUCAAAUUAACACGUAAUAUAAUGUAAUUACAGUCGUAAUAGGUGCCAAUUUGAGGUUAGAGUAUCCACGGGAACAUUCUCAAAUAGAAUGUGAAGAAAAGAAAACAAAAAAUGGGCUGAGAAUUGAGGUUUGUGUCCAUUGUGUUUGAUCGUGUUAAGGGUACGUAAGUGGGUUGGCUUUUGUAGUUGCCUCCAAAGUUCACAUGGUGGGUUAGGGAUGGCAGUAGGCGGGAUUUCAAAUGAGGUGCGAUUUAGAAUCACUCAGAUGGGCAGUUUGUUUGGACGCGAGAUAACAUGAAAGUGCAUGUGACUGACCGAGUAUUCAUUAUUGUGACACUCAUCUGGGCUCUUGCGGCCCCUCCAGUGCUCAACUCCCCCCAUCAACAACUCUUCUCUCCACAGCGCCUUGCUUUGCUUCUACGUCUGUACUUCCCUGCAUUUCAAAUAGUGAAUCAAGAAGAAGAUGAAUUAGGAACCCGUACAAAUGUUCAACUCCAAGUACCCGAUUUAGUUCGUCUGCAUAUCUGUCGUAUCAAUGUAUGUCACAAAAAUCCUUUACGUACAGAACUGUCACAUGAUCCGAUAGUCACUUUCAUGUAAAUGUUUUGGACGAUCACUCCGACUAUCAACCCAUUACAUUGUUGUAUAUACAUGGCAGAGGACACUGACGUACGUCCUAUCCCAGGUGUGCUUGCUUACCAAAUUUGUUGUUACCUUGGAUAGUAUUAAGUAGAUUAAUGUGGCAUUGAGGGACAUUACUAAAUGGAUACCAGGCAAAGAAAAGGGCAAAUAUAGAAAGGAACUUAAAAAUCAAUCUGCCAUGAUUAGCACCGGAUUUUUCCAGGCUGCUUCAGUGCCUUGAGCCCUUCACGCAGUACGCAUAUACAGUUAUGUAAAGUCAACAUCAUCGUAGCUGGAAAUAGGUUAAUAUUUUGAAUAUGAACUUAUAAGGAAAGACUAAUGAAUCCAUUUUCUUAUAGAACUUAGAAUCGGAUGAGCAUAUCCUUGUCAUUAAAUGCCUUAACAAGUCAAAGGGUAUCAUUUGGGUUUUGCAAAAAGAAAGACACAAUAGGUCACGAGAAUGAUUAGAUUAUUCAAACUUAUAAAAAAAAAAGGAACUAUCAGAGGAAUUAAUUUGAACGAUGUAUCAUUGGACAAGAAUUGGGGAGAGCAUGUUCAGACCGCAGACUGGGAGGUGAGUGGUUAUUUAUUUUUAUCUGUGACAGUUGUGACAAAUAGUAAAAAUAAUAAUGAAACAACAGGUGGUGUGGAGGAAUCACAUGAUGAUAAUGAUAAAUCUAAGGUCCACACGGUAUAUUAGUUAGUUAAACACCCUUUUAAAACGAAAAUAAAAGGGGCAAUAAGACAGAUGGUCAACAAGAUUUGAGAUUGCAACUUGCAAGAGAUGUCAAACUUAGCCAGCCAGGAGCUCAAAUUUGCAGGGAAUGGAUUGUGUAAGCAUUUCUGGAAAUCAGUUAGAUACCUCAGGGAACAAGAAAACACUCAUUGCGUAUUAGAUGGACCUAGGCUAAGCGAAGUUCUAAUCUGCAGUUCAGGUUGAAGAUGAGUACAAAUGUGUACAGAGAUGUCGACUUUGGUUUCGGAUUAAACCGGAAAUGAACAAACAAGAACAAAAUGACAUGACACCCACGAGAUAUUCUGCUUCCACAUUAAAUGAAUAAUAACGUGUGUACAGUCAAUAUCAAACUACACAUGCCAGCCAGACAAUUGCAAGUCGAUAUUUGAGCAUUUAUUUACUAUUGUUUCCUUACCUGUUGUAUCCGAGUCGCAGUUCAGAAUUCACUCCAAAUAUAACUUUCCAGCCUUUCCAGUUUCCAUCUUGAUAGUCAUUUAUCUGGAAAAAGACAGGAAAGCUGUCACAACGGUAAAGCACAAGUGUCAACAAACCUUGCAAUACAAGCAUAAUGAAUCAGGAAUUCUGUGAUCUGUUUCACAACAAUAAUACCAAAUUUCUUCCCUGUCCCUCCCUUGUACGCAUCAUCAAGGUUAACUAAGAUCCAUCAUCAUAUCAGACCCAAAAAAAACUGCAAUGUUCAUCACAUCAUGGAAAGUAAUAAUAGAGAUCAAUUUUCUGGCGUCAAUCAAGGUGAGAUUAGAAAAAUAUAACGACUAAUGAUGUAAGACCCCCACACCCGUAACUAGUGGGGAUGCCGUGUCAACUCCUUUCCCUUGUGCCAGUUUUCACUUUUCCUGAUGGCUGGCAGAUAAUGUGUUGGAUACAACAGGGGUAACUGGCUUGGAUUUAGCUAACUCCAAAGCCAAAAUAUCUACUGUGUUUCCGGACCUCAUUCCUGCAUUGGCCAAACAAAUCAAAAGUUGAACACUUGAACUGAAAGAAAACGAACAUGAAGUAUCAAACGAACAUGAUGACUUGUGUAGAGCCAACUGCCAGGCAGAAGGCUACUGUUCAAUUCACUCACCAUUGCUCUCCGGAUCAGCAUUCAGGUGUUCACUCAAGAUAAUCUUCUGCCCUUUCUUUUAUCUAUCUGUAAUAAAAGAAAUUACAAACAAACCGCCCAAUACAAGAAUAUGAGACUGAGAAAAAAAACGAUCUGUGUCCAAAUUUUAGGCUCAUGCUAUCACUUUUGGGUUUUUUAUUUGCAAGUAUUCAACUGCUCCAUCCAUUUGUCUUCUGAAACUCAAUACAGAACAACUCCAUGAGGAUAACACUGCAAAUAAAUAUCGACAUUGACCAAAAACUUGCCUACUUGUCUUCAGAGAAAGAUGCUGUUUAAAGGUAAACAAGUCAAUAACAAAGAGACGACACUACGCAAUGUACACGUUAUAGCCAAGUACUCAUAUAACCGUCAAUUUGAAAAUGACAAAUCGGAUUAAUAGUUUAAUAUACCUUCCAUAGGAUAGUUGCAACAAUUCUUCUCUUCCACAGAUAAUCUGAACCUGAAAAGCCAAUCAAAUCUGCAAUCAAAUCUUCCACAGAGUAGAAUGUUGGGGAAUAUUUCACCUGGAAUGUAGCUCAUCCGUUACGCGGUUUUUUCGUGAAUAGAAUCAGACUCAACGAUCUGCAACUUUCACCUACUCAAGUGGGCGAUGAAUGACAGUGCUAUCUAUGAAAGCCCCAACCUUGGAAACCGGCAGCUGCGACGGAAGGGCAGAGGCUGUUAUCCAUUGCAACGUGAGAAACGGUGAAUUCAAGAGGAAACCCUGAACGACGCCGUUAGGUAUUAUUUAAAGCCCAAAUCGCUGGAAAGCCCCCAUCGCAAACAAACUUGGUCUCAGUUAUAAAGCCCAUUAAGGUAGGCUUGAAAAUAGAUGUUGGGCUGAAACAAUUAUUUAGACAGCCCAGCUAUUCCAUGGAUAAAUUAAACCUCUUUCACACAGGGGAAUAGUAGGUACACUUGGUUCAAAUCUAACACUCUAAUGGUUCAUUUCUUAUUAGUUUCAGAGUAAUCCGACCUUAGAAGUUAGAUCAAAUUCAAAUGGAAUGUUGAUGUUAAAAAUUUUGGGUCAAAUACUCAAUUACUCCUGCAAUUAUGGGGAAAACUACAUAUCAGUUCUGUUCAUUAUGUUCGUAAACUCUCAACAUAUUAUCACUAUAUUUGUUGAGAUCAUCCAUUCUAUCUUUGAAAGAAUUAUUCGAUCAACUUUAAAUAUUGAUUGAGAUCAUCCAUUCUGUUCAGAGUUGCGAACUAGUUCGAUCAAAUAACUAAAGUCUUCUAGUUCUUUCAUAUGGGAUCUUGCAAUGUGUUUUAGGAAUGGGUGCUGCGUGGAGGACGGCAGAUGUGGAGAAAGGGUCGACUGUGGUCAUCUUUGGUCUUGGGUCAAUUGGCUUGGCGGUAAGAACUGUUUGAAGGGAAAAGUUUGUUCAAUUACGUUACUGAGAUGGUCUGACAUUUUUAUUGGUUCCUAAACUGGUGGAACUAUUGGUAUUGAUACGUGGUGCUGGAAGAAUUAUUGGUGUGGAUAUGAAGCCAGAAAAGUUUGAAAUCGGUUAGAAUUUAUUAGCUGAAAUUCUUGGUCCUAUACAGUAUUGAAAUAUGAAGAAUUGACUGUCAACAUGCUCAGAGUGGAUUGUGAUGUCCAGUUUUGGCCUGUUCUUGAUUUCUAUCAUGCAGGGAAGAAGUUUUGAAUCACAGAGUUUGUCAAUCCUGCAGAUUAUGGAGACAAAUCCUUGAGCCAGGUUAGCUACUCCAAGGCAAAUCAUUCACCUCGCUAGUUUUCAUUUAAUAAUUGAUUGAUGAUUUCAUGACAAAAAACUGAACAAAAGACCAAGUUCUACAAGAAUGUAAAAAGAAUAAACAAAGAAAAACCAAAAUGCCUAUGUCGUGUUGCAAGGGCUUUAUUCAUCUUGGUAGUUAAUUCUAAUCUCUAACCAUCCUCUAAAUGAGCUUGAGAUUUUAACAAAAACUCGCAUUUGUACAGAUAUUUACAGUCACUUAAUUAACAAAUUAACUCUUUGAUAGUUUUUAUGAUAAACGGGAGAUUCCAAUAAGCCCCGAGAAUGGAAAAUCCACUACUGUAUUUUCGUGUAAAUGAUACUAAGAGCAAGAGAUCGAGCAUUCUUCUCCAGCAUAGCAGAGCUCGUUGGCUCUGUUACUGCAUCUUAGUUAUGUUUUUGAGGGGUUCAAUCUAGGGUCUAUAGGUUGUGGUUAAUUUUCGAUGUCCCUCUAGUAUUUCAGAGUAUCUUUACAUGUGUGCCUGGUGACGCUAACAGAAGUAAAUUGAAGCAGGUGAUCAAUGAGAUGACAGCAGGUGGUGCAGACUAUUGCUUUGAGUGUGUUGGUCUGCCGUCUUUGAUGGAGGAAGCAUAUGCCUGUUGCCGCAAGGUCGGUUUCAAAAACAACAUAUUUCCCUCUUAUCCUGCCUCCUGUGUCUAUUAUUACCAAUGUUGUUCAUUAUAGUCCUUUUGGCUGUGGUAAUAGCCAGUGGUGGGGAAAGACGAUUGUCCUGGGAGUUGCCAAACCGUUGUUUGAGAUUAAGCUGAAAUGCUCCAACGUCCUUCACUCUGGGAAAACACUCACAGGCUCACUCUUUGGAGGUCUCAAACCGAAAUUGGAUAUCACAAUGCUCCUAAAACAUUAUGUGAACAAGGUGUGAACUUGUGUCCCUCCUCCCUUCCUCAUUCAAAUGAAAACCACCUUAAAAUAUCUCUGAGAGGAUCAUAUCGGUCUGGUAUUCGGUACAAGUAUAAAACAUCAAGUGUAGAUUUGAACUCCUGGGUGCCAUGACUUAAAUCUACAAAAGUACCUACAACUCCGGAGGUGGUCUUACACGUUAGUACUUAUUCAUUCAUUGGAUGGCAGGAGCUUGAGCACAAAAAUCGAUAACGAAAACCAGAGUACGUCUUAGGACAAACUUACAUACAUAAUAAAACACAAAUUAUUAAUAUGCAGCAGUGCCACAUACUACACAUGAUCGAAGGGAAAACGCAAAGCCAGACGAUACAGAGCAUCAUGGACUCUAGCUAUAAACCAAAAGCAUACAUAAAAGCAGUAACACUUAUUUAAAACACAGCAACUUCACAUCGAUCAUCACAUAGUUGGAUAAUGGAUCUAGUAGGAGGGUGGUUUCUCAUUGUCCUUGUGACCAGCUUCCUCUGCCUUAGGGUGAUACCCAGGCAGCUUCUCCUUAAUCUUGUCCAGUAACCCCUUCUUCUCCUCCUCUGGAGCCAGCGGGUGAGCAGUCGCCACGUCAUUAUGAUGGUCAACCCCAUGACCAGCAGCAGCAGCAGCAGCAGAUUCCUCAGUCUUCUUCUCACCACCAGGAAGCUUAUCCUUGAUCUUGUCCAUCAAACCCUUCUUCUCUUCAGGCUGAUGAUGAGGACCGCCAAGAGGCCCUUCCUCCUUCUGCAGCUUCUUCUUCUUGUCCUUCUUCCUCCUGAUCUUCUCCCCUCCUUCCUCCACCUCUUCCU
RNAcentral lists this long non-coding RNA (33714 nucleotides) under Linum usitatissimum (flax). RNAcentral's name for it is "long non-coding RNA (LUSI_LNC002617)". Lineage: Eukaryota; Viridiplantae; Streptophyta; Magnoliopsida; Malpighiales; Linaceae. The record is from RNAcentral.